AGAAUGAACGUUGGCGGCGUGGAUUAGGCAUGCAAGUCGGACGGGCCGCAAGGCCAGUGGCGUAAGGGUGAGUAAGGCGACGGCAAUCAUCCCCACGGUUGGGUAUAGCCGCGAGAAAUCGCGGGUAAUCCCCAGCGACGCACGGCGUCGGCAUCGACGCCCUGCCAAAGGCUCGCCGCCGUGGGACGAGCCGUCGUGGUAUUAGGUCGUUGGCGGGGUAACGGCCCACCAAGCCUGCGAUGCCUACCGGGCGUGCGAGCGUGGCCCGGCACACUGGGACUGAGACACUGCCCAGACUCCUACGGGAGGCUGCAGUCGAGAAUCUUCGGCAAUGGGCGCAAGCCUGACCGAGCGACGCCGCGUGGAGGACGAAGGCCUUCGGUGUAAACUCCUGUCGAGGGGAAGGAGGGCCGCGAACGGCCCUUGACCGCUCCCGUGGAGGAAGCGACGGCUAAGUCGUGCCAGCAGCCG
RNAcentral lists this ribosomal RNA (471 nucleotides) under uncultured soil bacterium. RNAcentral's name for it is "bacterial SSU rRNA". It matches the Rfam family "Bacterial small subunit ribosomal RNA", at positions 26 to 517 of the family's 1533-position model. The record is from RNAcentral.